AGGCCCAUUUCUUAAGACCCUUGAGAAAUGUGACUGAAAUAAUUCUCAGCAUAAAUAUGUCCCAUGCAAUAUUUGGGACAUACUUAUACUAAAAAAUAUUUUUUGUUUAUCUGUAAUUCAAGAAAUAACUUUU
This 133-nucleotide microRNA precursor is filed under the name Choloepus hoffmanni (Hoffmann's two-fingered sloth). RNAcentral's name for it is "miRNA (ENSCHOG00000015484.1)". The stretch from base 43 to 94 matches the Rfam family "mir-1302 microRNA precursor family". The record is from RNAcentral. Lineage: Eukaryota; Metazoa; Chordata; Mammalia; Pilosa; Megalonychidae.